RNAcentral lists this ribosomal RNA (473 nucleotides) under Bacillus subtilis. Its description in RNAcentral is "bacterial SSU rRNA". It matches the Rfam family "Bacterial small subunit ribosomal RNA", at positions 920 to 1379 of the family's 1533-position model. The record is from RNAcentral. Lineage: Bacteria; Bacillati; Bacillota; Bacilli; Caryophanales; Bacillaceae.
CCCGCCCAGCGGGUGGGAGCAUGUGGUUUAUUCGAAGCAACGCGAGAACCUUACCAGGUCUUGACAUCCUCUGACAAUCCUAGAGAUAGGACGUCCCCUUCGGGGGCAGAGUGACAGGUGGUGCAUGGUUGUCGUCAGCUCGUGUCGUGAGAUGUUGGGUUAAGUCCCGCAACGAGCGCAACCCUUGAUCUUAGUUGCCAGCAUUCAGUUGGGCACUCUAAGGUGACUGCCGGUGACAAACCGGAGGAAGGUGGGGAUGACGUCAAAUCAUCAUGCCCCUUAUGACCUGGGCUACACACGUGCUACAAUGGACAGAACAAAGGGCAGCGAAACCGCGAGGUUAAGCCAAUCCCACAAAUCUGUUCUCAGUUCGGAUCGCAGUCUGCAACUCGACUGCGUGAAGCUGGAAUCGCUAGUAAUCGCGGAUCAGCAUGCCGCGGUGAAUACGUUCCCGGGCUGGGGGGAUCCCGAAU